UUAGGAUCUAGACCUGGCAUAUCUUCAUACGACCAUGCAAAAAUAUCCAGAUAUUCCCGGAGGAGCUGGAUGAUCUUCUUUUUAACCCCUUCCUCUAGAGCAGCACCGAUCUUGAUUUCUCGCUUGUUCUCCUCGGUACCUAUGUUGAUAAGCUCAAUCUCUUCCUGG
Molecule: microRNA precursor, 168 nt
Filed under: Medicago truncatula (barrel medic)
Lineage: Eukaryota; Viridiplantae; Streptophyta; Magnoliopsida; Fabales; Fabaceae
Description: MIR2680 microRNA precursor family
Rfam family: MIR2680 microRNA precursor family
Source: Rfam by way of RNAcentral